AACAAACGCUGGCGGCGUGCCUAAUACAUGCAAGUCGAACGUCGAAAGUUUUCGGAUGAGUAGAAGUGGCGUACGGGUGAGUAACACGUGGGUAAUCUGCCUUAGAGUGGGGAAUAACCAGUCGAAAGAUUGGCUAAUACCGCAUAAGACCACAGUAUCUGCGGAUCUAGGGGUUAAAGGAGUAAUUCGCUCUAAGAUGAGCCCGCGCGGGAUUAGCUAGUUGGUGAGGUAAUGGCUCACCAAGGCUACGAUCUCUAACUGGUCUGAGAGGAUGAUCAGUCACACUGGAACUGAGACACGGUCCAGACGCCUACGGGAGGCAGAAGUAGAGAAUAUUGCGCAAUGGGGGAAACCCUGACGCAGCGACGCCGCGUGAGUGAUGAAGGACUUCGGUUCGUAAAGCUCUGUCGCAGGGGAAUAAAUUCGAAUGUACCCUGUAAGAAAGGAUCGGCUAACUUCGUGCCAGCCGCCGCGGUAA
This 478-nucleotide ribosomal RNA is filed under the name uncultured bacterium. Its description in RNAcentral is "partial 16S ribosomal RNA". It matches the Rfam family "Bacterial small subunit ribosomal RNA", at positions 29 to 523 of the family's 1533-position model. The record is from RNAcentral.